This is a ribosomal RNA of Gloeobacter violaceus PCC 7421, 2784 nucleotides long. It matches the Rfam family "Bacterial large subunit ribosomal RNA". The record is from Rfam. NCBI's taxonomy places the organism in Bacteria, Bacillati, Cyanobacteriota, Cyanophyceae, Gloeobacterales, Gloeobacteraceae.
AGUCAAGCUACACAGGGCGUACGGUGGAUACCUAGGCACAGUCAGCCGAUGAAGGACGCGGCUACCGGCGAAACGCGACGGGGAGCAGGAAGCAUGCUUUGAUCCGUCGGUGUCCGAAUGGGGAAACCCGGCAUCCUUAACAGGGUGUCGUCCGCAAGGACGGGAACCAGGCGAAUUGAAACAUCUUAGUAGCCUGAGGAAAAUAAAGUAAAAACGAUUCCCUCAGUAGCGGCGAGCGAACGGGGAAGAGCCCAAACCGAUGGGUUACGACCUGUCGGGGUUGUAGGACAGCUAUCUGGAGUGCGUUUGCUAGGCGAAUGGGUUGGAAAACCCGACCAAAGAAGGUGAUAGUCCUGUACUCGAAAGCAAACAAACCCUGGCUGAAUCCUGAGUAGCACGGGGCACGUGAAAUCCCGUGUGAAUCUGCGAGGACCAUCUCGUAAGGCUAAAUACUGUCUGUGACCGAUAGCGAUUAGUACCGCGAGGGAAAGGUGAAAAGAACCCCGGGAGGGGAGUGAAAUAGAACAUGAAACCGUAUGCCUACAAGCAGUGGGAGCACGAUUUAACGUGUGACCGCGUGCCUGUUGAAGAAUGAGCCGGCGAGUUACGGUCAGUGGCAGGUUAAGCCGAAAAUGGCGGAGCCAAAGGGAAACCGAGUCUGAAUAGGGCGCUAGUCACUGGUCGUAGACCCGAAGCCUGGUGAUCUAACCAUGGCCAGGAUGAAGCUUGGGUAACACCAAGUGGAGGUCCGAACCGACUGAUGUUGAAAAAUCAGCGGAUGAGCUGUGGUUAGGGGUGAAAUGCCAAUCGAACUAGGCGAUAGCUGGUUCUCCCCGAAAUGUGUUUAGGCACAGCGUUAGGUGUUUAUGGGCGGGGGUAGAGCACUGAUUCGGUGCGGGCUGCGAGAGCGGUACCAAAUCGAGCCAAACUCCGAAUACCGUCCAACAUAGCCUGGCAGUGAGACUGUGGGGGAUAAGCUCCAUGGUCGAGAGGGAAACAGCCCAGACCACCAACUAAGGUCCCCAAAUUGUAGCUCAGUGAUUAAGGAGGUGGGAUUGCACAGACAACCAGGAGGUUGGCCUAGAAGCAGCCACCCUUGAAAGAGUGCGUAAUAGCUCACUGGUCAAGCGAUCCUGCGCCGAAAAUGAACGGGGCUAAGCUACAUACCGAAGUUGUGGAUUUAUGGUAGGGGAGCGUUCCGCAGUAGGAUGAAGCGUCAGCGACAAGCAGGCGUGGACGAGGCGGAAGUGAGAAUGUCGGCUUGAGUAGCGCAAACAUUGGUGAGAAUCCAAUGCUCCGAAAGCACAAGGUUUCCUCCGGAAGGUUCGUCCGCGGAGGGUUAGCCGGGACCUAAGGCGAAGCCGAAGGGCGUAGUCGAUGGAUAACAGGUGUAUAUUCCUGUGCUGUGUCGCUGGAGUGUCAAAGGGACGCAUGAGGAUAGGCCAUACCCUUACUGGAUUGGGGAGCUCCUACGGGAGCAGUUUGGCCGAAAGUAGUGCCGAGAAAAGCUUUGCCACAUUGAAAGCACGCACCCGUACCCGAAACCGACACAGGUGUGCAGGUAGAGAAUACCAAGGAGCGCGAGAUAACCCUCUUUAAGGAACUCGGCAAAAUAGCCCCGUAACUUCGGAAGAAGGGGUGCCCCCGCGAGGGGGUCGCAGUGAAAUGGCUCUGGCGACUGUUUACCAAAAACACAGGUCUCUGCAAAGCCGCAAGGCGACGUAUAGGGGCUGACUCCUGCCCAGUGCCGGAAGGUUACGGAAGUCGGUUAGCGAAAGCGAAGCUGGCGACCUAAGCCCCGGUGAACGGCGGCCGUAACUAUAACGGUCCUAAGGUAGCGAAAUUCCUUGUCGGGUAAGUUCCGACCUGCACGAAAGGAGUAACGAUCAGAGCGCUGUCUCGAAGAGGGACUCGGCGAAAUAGGAUUGUCUGUGAAGAUACGGACUACUUGUACCCGGACAGAAAGACCCUAUGAAGCUUUACUCUAGCUUGAAAUUGGGUUCGGGCUUUGUCUGCGCAGGAUAGGCGGGAGCCGGUGAUACAUCUCUUGCGGGGGGUGUGGAGGCAACGGUGAGAUACCGCUCUGACAGGGUCUGGAUUCUAACCUACGGGGACAGUUUCAGGUGGGGAGUUUGACUGGGGCGGUCGCCUCCUAAACGGUAACGGAGGCGCGCAAAGGUUCCCUCAGGCUGGUCGGAAAUCAGCCGCAGAGUGUAAAGGCAUAAGGGAGCUUGACUGCGAGACCUACAAGUCGAGCAGAGACGAAAGUCGGCCUUAGUGAUCCGACGGUUCUGCAUGGAAGGGCCGUCGCUCAACGGAUAAAAGUUACUCUAGGGAUAACAGGCUGAUCUCCCCCAAGAGUCCACAUCGACGGGGAGGUUUGGCACCUCGAUGUCGGCUCGUCGCAACCUGGGGCGGUAGUACGUCCCAAGGGUUGGGCUGUUCGCCCAUUAAAGCGGCACGUGAGCUGGGUUCAGAACGUCGUGAGACAGUUCGGUCCAUAUCCGGUACAAGCGCAAGAGUGUUGAGAGGAGCUCUCCCUAGUACGAGAGGACCGGGAGGGACUGACCGCUGGUGUACCUGUUAUCGUGCCAACGGUAAACGCAGGGUAGCUAUGUCGGGAGUGGAUAACCGCUGAAAGCAUCUAAGUGGGAAGCCCACCUCAAGAUGAGCACUCUCUCCGCAAGGGUAAGACCACGGGAAGAUUACCCGUUAAUAGGCUCUAGGUGGAAGCGCAGCAAUGUGUGCAGCCGAGGAGUACUAAUAGGUCGAGGGCUUGACUUA